GACGAACGCUGGCGGCGUGCUUAACACAUGCAAGUCGAACGAAGAGCGACGGAAGCUUGCUUCUGUCAGUCUUAGUGGCGGACGGGUGAGUCACGCGUAAUCAACCUGCCCUUCAGAGGUGGCCAACAGUUGGAAACGACUGCUCAUACCACAUACGCUCUCACCUCGGCAUCGAGGAUAGAUGAACGGUGGCCUCUACAUGUAAGCUAUCACUUCAGCAGGUGAUUGCGGCUGUUUAGUUCGAUGGCGGGGUAACGUACCAGGAAGGCGAGGAUCAGUAGCCGGUCUGAGAGGAUGAGCAGCCACACUGGGAGUGUGACACGGCCCAGACGGCUAGGGGAGGCAGCAAGAGGGAAUCGUGCGCAAGGGACGGAAGACUGAGCGCGCAACGCCGCGGGAGUGAUGAGGGCCGUCGGGUUGUAAAGCACGGUUAACCGGGAUGAAAGGCCUUCUUGCGAAUAGGGAGAAGGAUUGACGGUACCGGAAAAGAAAGCCACGGCUAACUACGUG
Molecule: ribosomal RNA, 510 nt
Filed under: uncultured bacterium
Lineage: Bacteria
Description: partial 16S ribosomal RNA
Rfam family: Bacterial small subunit ribosomal RNA
Source: RNAcentral